UGCACUAUCUCUCAUUUAAUAAAUUAAUAUGCAUGGAAAAAAUAUUCAAAUAUUAAUAUAAUACUUAAAUCAAGCAGAAUUUGGUUACACAAUUCCAUUAAGGAGGAAGACCACGAUAAGGGACAUAACUCUUUAAAUCAUAGGUUCGUUUGGAACUACCAUAAUAAUUACAUUUGAGCUGCAUCGGAUAGAAAUAUUAAUACAUCUUGUAACCUAUUUUGGUUUAAAAAAAUCUCUAUGGAAAGUCUGUAAAUGUUUGAAAAUUGAGCUGUUAUAAGAAAAUCUACAAAACAUAUCAAAAUUCAUCUUUUAUUUCGUAAUUUUGUUUUUGAAUGUGCCAAAAAUAAUUCAAAGUUUUACAUAUGUAGAUGUAUACAUGUAUAAGGUCGAUUUCUAUCCGACGCAGCUUGUUUAUUGUUAUUAUGAUUCACCUGAAUGCUUUAAUAAUACACAAUUAUGAAACUACAAACAAGUGUAUUACUGAUUUAAGAGUUAUCUCCCUUAGCUGUCUUAGACCUCCACCCUGUAGUCUUGAAGUAAUAUUUUGUAAACAUCUACAUUUGUAAUAUCUAAAUUUUAAGACAUACUACUAUAGUUCCAUGGAAAUGCAUAAAGAGGUUUUGAAAUUGAUGGUCUUAAAUUUCAG
RNAcentral lists this long non-coding RNA (646 nucleotides) under Mytilus galloprovincialis (Mediterranean mussel). The record is from RNAcentral. Lineage: Eukaryota; Metazoa; Mollusca; Bivalvia; Mytilida; Mytilidae.